AGAGUUUGAUCCUGGCUCAGAGCGAACGCUGGCGGCAGGCCUAACACAUGCAAGUCGAACGAACUCUUCGGAGUUAGUGGCAGACGGGUGAGUAACACGUGGGAACGUGCCUUUAGGUUCGGAAUAGCUCCUGGAAACGGGUGGUAAUGCCGAAUGUGCCCUUCGGGGGAAAGAUUUAUCGCCUUUAGAGCGGCCCGCGUCUGAUUAGCUAGUUGGUGGGGUAAUGGCCCACCAAGGCUACGAUCAGUAGCUGGUCUGAGAGGAUGACCAGCCACAUUGGGACUGAGACACGGCCCAAACUCCUACGGGAGGCAGCAGUGGGGAAUCUUGCGCAAUGGGCGAAAGCCUGACGCAGCCAUGCCGCGUGUAUGAUGAAGGUCUUAGGAUUGUAAAAUACUUUCACCGGUGAAGAUAAUGACUGUAGCCGGAGAAGAAGCCCCGGCUAACUUCGUGCCAGCAGCCGCGGUAAUACGAAGGGGGCUAGCGUUGCUCGGAAUUACUGGGCGUAAAGGGAGCGUAGGCGGACAUUUAAGUCAGGGGUGAAAUCCCGGAGCUUAACUUCGGAACUGCCUUUGGUACUGGGUGUCUUGAGUGUGAGAGAGGUAUGUGGAACUCCGAGUGUAGAGGUGAAAUUCGUAGAUAUUCGGAAGAACACCAGUGGCGAAGGCGACAUACUGGCUCAUUACUGACGCUGAGGCUCGAAAGCGUGGGGAGCAAACAGGAUUAGAUACCCUGGUAGUCCAA
This 744-nucleotide ribosomal RNA is filed under the name uncultured bacterium. Its description in RNAcentral is "bacterial SSU rRNA". It matches the Rfam family "Bacterial small subunit ribosomal RNA", at positions 8 to 798 of the family's 1533-position model. The record is from RNAcentral.